AGGGCUUCUGGCCUUUUGGCUAAGAUCAAGUGUAGUAUCUGUUUUUAGCCAUUUAAUAUCUGACAUUAAAUGGUUUUUAGCCAUUUAAUAUUGAUAUGCCCUCUAUCCAAA
This 111-nucleotide small nuclear RNA is filed under the name Sciurus vulgaris (Eurasian red squirrel). RNAcentral describes it as "U2 spliceosomal RNA (ENSSVLG00005013418.1)". It matches the Rfam family "U2 spliceosomal RNA". Rfam says of the family: U2 is a small nuclear RNA (snRNA) component of the spliceosome (involved in pre-mRNA splicing). Complementary binding between U2 snRNA (in an area lying towards the 5' end but 3' to hairpin I) and the branchpoint sequence (BPS) of the intron results the bulging out of an unpaired adenosine, on the BPS, which initiates a nucleophilic attack at the intronic 5' splice site, thus starting the first of two transesterification reactions that mediate splicing. The record is from Rfam by way of RNAcentral. Lineage: Eukaryota; Metazoa; Chordata; Mammalia; Rodentia; Sciuridae.